GAUGAACGCUGGCGGCGUGCCUAAUACAUGCAAGUCGAGCGAACGGACGAGAAGCUUGCUUCUCUGAUGUUAGCGGCGGACGGGUGAGUAACACGAGGAUAACCUACCUAUAAGACUGGGAUAACUUCGGGAAACCGGAGCUAAUACCGGAUAAUAUUUUGAACCGCAUGGUUCAAAAGUGAAAGACGGUCUUGCUGUCACUUAUAGAUGGAUCCGCGCUGCAUUAGCUAGUUGGUAAGGUAACGGCUUACCAAGGCAACGAUGCAUAGCCGACCUGAGAGGGUGAUCGGCCACACUGGAACUGAGACACGGUCCAGACUCCUACGGGAGGCAGCAGUAGGGAAUCUUCCGCAAUGGGCGAAAGCCUGACGGAGCAACGCCGCGUGAGUGAUGAAGGUCUUCGGAUCGUAAAACUCUGUUAUUAGGGAAGAACAUAUGUGUAAGUAACUGUGCACAUCUUGACGGUACCUAAUCAGAAAGCCACGGCUAACUACGUG
Molecule: ribosomal RNA, 497 nt
Filed under: uncultured bacterium
Lineage: Bacteria
Description: partial 16S ribosomal RNA
Rfam family: Bacterial small subunit ribosomal RNA
Source: RNAcentral